AUUAUUUUAGUGUAAUAUAAGCAUAGUUAAUUUCCAAUUAACAGGAAUUAAAAUAAUA
RNAcentral lists this transfer RNA (58 nucleotides) under Trichuris sp. LO613. RNAcentral describes it as "tRNA-Gly". Lineage: Eukaryota; Metazoa; Nematoda; Enoplea; Trichinellida; Trichuridae. The record is from RNAcentral.